This 336-nucleotide ribosomal RNA is filed under the name uncultured Oceanospirillales bacterium. RNAcentral describes it as "SSU rRNA". It matches the Rfam family "Bacterial small subunit ribosomal RNA", at positions 30 to 367 of the family's 1533-position model. Lineage: Bacteria; Pseudomonadati; Pseudomonadota; Gammaproteobacteria; Oceanospirillales. The record is from RNAcentral.
UUGAACGCUGGCGGUAGGCUUAACACAUGCAAGUCGUGCGAGAAAGUAUCUUCGGAUAUGAGUAGAGCGGCGGACGGGUGAGUAACGCGUAGGAAUCUACCUAGUAGAAGGGGAUAGCCCGGGGAAACCCGGAUUAAUACCGUAUACCUCCUUCGGGAGAAAGAAGGCCUCUCUUUGAAGCUUUCGCUACUAGAUGAGCCUGCGUAAGAUUAGCUUGUUGGUGAGGUAAUGGCUCACCAAGUCUACGAUGAUUAGGGGGCCUGAGAGGGUGGUCCCCCACACUGGUACUGAGACACGGACCAGACUCCUACGGGAGGCAGCAGUGAGGAAUAUUGG